RNAcentral lists this RNase P RNA (386 nucleotides) under Mesobacillus maritimus. Its description in RNAcentral is "RNase P RNA component class B". It matches the Rfam family "Bacterial RNase P class B". From Rfam's summary of the family: Ribonuclease P (RNase P) is a ubiquitous endoribonuclease, found in archaea, bacteria and eukarya as well as chloroplasts and mitochondria. Its best characterised activity is the generation of mature 5'-ends of tRNAs by cleaving the 5'-leader elements of precursor-tRNAs. Lineage: Bacteria; Bacillati; Bacillota; Bacilli; Caryophanales; Bacillaceae. The record is from RNAcentral.
ACGUUCGGGUAAUCGCUGUAGCUCUGCUGCAGAGGAAAGUCCAUGCUCGCACGGGCUGAGAUGCCCGUAGUGUUCGUGCCUGGCCAAUUCAUAAGCCAGGGCAGUCGUGUUUAGCAUGGCUGACGGCAGGGAAAGUGCCUAAGUCGAUUUCGAUAUGGCAUUAAUACCUAUAAAAGUGCCACAGUGACGUAGCCUUCUCAGAAAUGGGAAGGGUGGAACGAGGUAAACCCCGCGAGCGAGAAACCCAAACUAUGGUAGGGGCACUUUCUCGGAGGAAUUGAACGAAGAGAAGGACAGGUGAGUAUUCACCUGUAGAUAGAUGAUUACCACCGGAGUGCGAGACAUUGUCGUUUGCAGCACAAAGGAACAAAACAUGGCUUACAGGA